GGGGACACACUGUUUUGUUAAUAAAACCUUUCUUUUAGGGGAAGAGGUCGCCUUGUACUGUGCCAAAUAUCUUCCUGAUAUUAUCAAAGAUCAGAAGGCCUACAAGGAAGGCAAGCUUCAGAAGGCUUUACAAGAUGCCUUCUUGGCUAUCGAUGCCAAGCUGACUACAGAUGAAGUCAUUAAGGAACUGGCGCAGAUUGCAGGGAGACCCACUGAAGAUGAGGAUGAUAAAGAAAAAGUAGCAGAUGAGGAUGAUGGUGAGUGUGGCAUCUGUGUUAGAAGGAAAUGAGCAGUUGAUUAUCAGUUCUGAGAAAUGAUGGCUUCCCAGGGACCUGGGGAAUUGUCCCAUAAAAGGAUAUACAAGAAUCAACUAAGCUGGCUUAUGGGGGCCCACAGAGGCUGAACCAACAAUCAGGGAGCCUGCAUAGGACUGACCUAGGCCCCCGCAUAUAUGUUACAGUUGAGCACCUUGGACUUGUGAGAUUUCUAACACUGGGACCAGCGGCUGUCUCUGACUCCUGCUGGCCCUGGAGACCCUUUUCCUCAUUCUAGGUUGCCUUUUCCAGCCUUUAUAAGAGGGGAGGUGCCUAGUCUUGUUGCAGCUUGAUAUGUCAUGUUUAUGUUUGUUUGAUAGCCUUGGGGUGCCUGCCCUUUUCUGAAGAAAAACAGAAGGAAUGGAUAUCAGUGGAGGCACUGUGAGGAAAGGUGGGAGGGAACACUUCAGUCAGGAUAUAAAAAGUAAAAUAAGAAAAGAACCCUGGGGUUGGGGAUUUAGCUCAAUGGUUUCCGGUCCCCAGCUCCGGAAAAAAGAAAAGAAAAGAAAAAAAAAAAAAAAAAGACUAGAUCAUACCUUGAAUAAAUGAAAGUCAUUAUUU
RNAcentral lists this long non-coding RNA (875 nucleotides) under Rattus norvegicus (Norway rat). RNAcentral describes it as "long non-coding RNA NONRATT024072". The record is from RNAcentral. Lineage: Eukaryota; Metazoa; Chordata; Mammalia; Rodentia; Muridae.